GGGGAAGCACUGAGUCAAAGGGGUGAGGAUGAGAGAAGAGACAACUCAGCAAAACAGAAAAGCAGAGAAAAAGAGCCAGGAGAGAAGCUUAAGGCGGUAACAAUGAACCUGGGGAACAAGACAGCGUAAUAAGUGAUGUGUUUUUGUCCCCCACCUCUCCAGUCAUCCGUCAAAUCACGUAUGCUUUCAAAAGCUUUGGUUCAGUUUUUGAGGAACACAAUAAUGGAGCUGUGUCACAUCCAGGUCGAUAGGCGGUAGCACCUCGGCAGCAUGUGCGGAACAAGGACCCCGGAAGCAGAAGAAGUCAUGAGAAUCCAGAAUGGCGCAACAUCUUUAUGGACAAUGAAAUGGACAGCAUUGAUUUUAAAAGAGGCCUAGGCCUCUUUGUGAUGAUGAAAGUCAGAAAAACGAUCCUGUUGAUAUACGGAGAAAGAAGAUCAAAGCCAUUCUUUCAGAUAAAGGGUAACGGCAAUCUUGGACUCCAUUCCUAUGUCCGCGCUCCCUCCAGAUUGGUUAUGAUCACACUUCCUCGGGUUUGUGAACGAUAUUUACAUGGGAGGAGAAAAAAGAGACAAGCUGUCACUGGUCAAAAGACACAUGCAUGAAUGUUUUGGAUCAUUCCCGGAGAAUUUCAGAAUGGUUCUGAAUUUGUACUGCACCAGUGAGCAGGCUAUCUUUCCUGCUCCUUAGCCAGAGAUGCUUCAGCUUCAGUGAACUAUUCAGGUCUUGUUUCUGUUAUGAAGACUUUUUCUUUUGAGAAGACAUGGACAUAACCCCGAAAAGAAGAUAUAUAUAUAUAUAUAUAUAUAUAUAUAUAUAUAUAUCUCAAUUCUAACGUUUAUUGUCUUCAAAAUAUUAAAUACACAAUGGAGUAAUUAA
RNAcentral lists this long non-coding RNA (879 nucleotides) under Felis catus (domestic cat). RNAcentral's name for it is "lncRNA (ENSFCAG00000048147.1)". The record is from RNAcentral. Lineage: Eukaryota; Metazoa; Chordata; Mammalia; Carnivora; Felidae.